Long non-coding RNA from Fundulus heteroclitus (mummichog), 1604 nucleotides. RefSeq lists it as uncharacterized. The record is from RefSeq and is a predicted model, not a curated record. The transcript has 3 exons. NCBI's taxonomy places the organism in Eukaryota, Metazoa, Chordata, Actinopteri, Cyprinodontiformes, Fundulidae.
ACCUUAUUGCUUUCUGUCCCCAUGUGUAUAUCUAUUGAAAAUUACCUCUUUGUACCUGCAUAAAAUUCAGGAAUCUGUUCAUUGCGCUGUUUUUUAUUCUAUUUCUGUACAUUUAGCUUGUUAGCAAGUCAUGAAUACGGGGAAUUAGCUUAUAUUAAAUAUUAUCAUGUUUAUGUUUUUCUACACAUAAAAAACCCAAGAAAAAAAGUUAUGUUUUCUCUGUAUCUGUAUGGAUUUGCCUAAAACAAUCAAUAGAGUCUAUGUUUUACUUUUGUCAAAAAUACGUAGUCCUGACUUGUGAAGCAUCUGAGCUAGCAUUCGAUGAAACGAAUGCAUGUAGUUUGUAAAAACAUAAGGAAUCAAAGAUAAAAUGCAUAAGAUUGUUUUAUUAAUAUUUAUCUGAGCUAUCGUGAGAAAUCAAUGUUAAGAAUCGGACAGGAGUGUGUGAUUUUCUGUGUAGCAACAUCGUUAGCGUUAGCAACUUAGCAGCGUUAUGCAAGCUAACAUUCAGUUAGCUGCCUUUUCGCUUCCUUUAGGCAGCAUGGCUAACAGCAAGCUGGUGGCUAGAUGCAAUAUUAUGUUGCUUUUGUGGGAUAAAUCUCUGAGCCUCCUGAUAUAAAUCCUGAUAUAAAUGUCUGGCAGGAGCUAACUUGGACUUUAGACUCAUAGGAGAUGAGUUAAGGUGUCGGGGUUGGCAGUGGGGGUAGAGGGCUGCUAUACAUAGCCCCGUGAUGGUCUGGCAGUAAAAACAAACAAGGUUUUCUUUCACUCACUGCUUUCAGUGGGAGAGUUAUGAGUCUUAGCACUGCUAUGGGGGUGUUCUGAGCCGGGAAACAGGUGUCAAGGUCCUUGCUUCUGGCGUCCAGCGUCACCUGAUUGGGACUCACAGAGCAACGCUGCUCCUGUACUUGUUGGCACCUGGGUGAUUAGCUGGGACUGUGCGUGCGGAUUAUCGCUUCGGGCCGAUUUUUGCUGCUGCGCAGGCAGAGAGAGGAGUGGCAACAAUCCUUUUGAUCUGAUGCUGAUCUCUGAUCUGCGAGAGAUGAGAUUUCCUUGUGUCGGUCAGCUCAUGUUAACGCUGCUGUGGAAAACCGGCUCCAAGGAUGGCGAGAAGGAGGCGCUGUGAAAGCAGCAAUGUCGUAAUCGAAUCACACGAGAAAGGCCAGGAUCCACAGAGAGCUUCCAAAGUACCAGAGAGGUCUCAUUGUCUAAAAGGUACCAGCCAGGAGAAGAAUGCAAAGUAAAACCAGGCAGCCUCACACAAGUUGGCAGGAAGGGCUCCACGGGCCCCCAGCUCCACAUGAUGAGACCAAGAAACAGAUGGAGAUGAAAUCAUUCGGAUUCCACGUUGCAGCGGAGCCAAAGACAACUUGUGGGCGAAUGAUUAAAAUCAAAUAAGCCUCAUGGUUGUAAUUUUGUGUCAGUGAAAUUGGCAGGUUGGUAAUUAAAAUCAGAAACACCGCAGGGCUGACUGAGGCUGUUAUGAGACCCAACAAGAAAUCAAAAGCAAAGCAGCCAAUCAGCAGCUAAUUUAUGAGCAAAACAAUGUGUUUUGUGUAAAGAGAAGGUUAGAGAGAGAGAAAAAAAGCAGGGUUUGUUUUGUG